AGCAGUAGCCACGGGAAUACGGAGGGUGCAAGCGUUAAUCGGAAUUACUGGGCGUAAAGCGCACGCAGGCGGUCUGACAAGUCAGAUGUGAAAUCCCCGGGCUUAACCUGGGAACUGCAUUUGAAACUGUCAGGCUGGAGUCUUGUAGAGGGGGGUGGAAUUCCAGGUGUAGCGGUGAAAUGCGUAGAGAUCUGGAGGAAUACCGGUGGCGAAGGCGGCCCCCUGGACAAAGACUGACGCUCAGGUGCGAAAGCGUGGGGAGCAAACAGGAUUAGAUACCCGUGUAGUCCCUGUCUCUUAUAC
RNAcentral lists this ribosomal RNA (303 nucleotides) under uncultured bacterium. Its description in RNAcentral is "partial 16S ribosomal RNA". It matches the Rfam family "Bacterial small subunit ribosomal RNA", at positions 507 to 807 of the family's 1533-position model. The record is from RNAcentral.